This 76-nucleotide transfer RNA is filed under the name Vibrio parahaemolyticus. RNAcentral's name for it is "tRNA-Gly". It matches the Rfam family "tRNA". From Rfam's summary of the family: Transfer RNA (tRNA) molecules are approximately 80 nucleotides in length. Lineage: Bacteria; Pseudomonadati; Pseudomonadota; Gammaproteobacteria; Vibrionales; Vibrionaceae. The record is from RNAcentral.
GCGACACUAGCUCCGUUGGUAGAGCGCAACCGUGCCAAGGUUGAGGUCACGAGUUCGAACCUCGUGUGUCGCUCCA